UACGGAGGGCGCAAGCGUUGUUCGGAAUCAUUGGGCGUAAAGCGCGUGUAGGCGGCCCGGUAAGUCGGGUGUGAAAUCCCGGGGCCCAACCCCGGAACUGCAUUCGAUACUGCCUGGCUGGAGUCUCGGAGAGGAGAGCGGAAUUCCCGGUGUAGAGGUGAAAUUCGUAGAUAUCGGGAGGAACACCAGCGGCGAAGGCGGCUCUCUGGACGAUGACUGACGCUGAGACGCGAAAGCGUGGGGAGCAAACAGG
RNAcentral lists this ribosomal RNA (253 nucleotides) under uncultured bacterium. RNAcentral's name for it is "partial 16S ribosomal RNA". It matches the Rfam family "Bacterial small subunit ribosomal RNA", at positions 524 to 776 of the family's 1533-position model. The record is from RNAcentral.